AUUCAGUUGAAACCAGAAUAGAGAAAGUCUAUUAUUAAUUUGCUACGUGGUGAAGACGCCGGUUAUCGCGAUUCUUCCUACGGAAUACGGAAAAUCUGCAAAUCAAAGCUUGCCCGAGCGGCGGGGAUCGAAGUAAAUUUCCUUAUAGUUGUCUUGUUAUUUGUUCACUUUAAAGUAUAAUUCAAGAUCAGAUAGUUGAGGCUACAUCACUUGGCAGUGCAGCUAUGAGGUUGGAUGAUGAUUUUAAGAAUAACAUUUCAAAACAUGCUCAACUGUUAUAAUUUUGCAGUUAAUUUGCUAUACGGCAGAAUACGUUAAACAACCGUGGUUCAGGAGCCUUUUAAAAGAUAAAAGCUCUGUGACUGUGUUGUGACUGUUGUCUAAAAUAGCUUCAAAAACUCAUUAAUAAUUCAUGAGGAAGAAACACAAAGAAAAAUCGUAAACGUGUAUCUUUAUAUGUGAUAGAGAUUUCCCUUGAUUUACAUAAACUUUAAGUUUGAUUUUCUUUACAUACACAACGAAUGUUUUGAAAGCUAUUUCGCCAAUGAACUUAUACUCGAUCGAUCGUUUUUGAAGCAAUUUAAAACAUUCGCAGUGCGUGUUUUAUCAGACCAUCUUUAUAUAUCUGGUAAAACACUGCUGCUCAUGUUUUAAAUAGUGCAUAAAAUCUCUGCAAAUCUCCGUAGUUGCCGAGCAAAAAGCAUGCAUGAUGCUAAAUAUAAAUCUCGACUAUGAUUGGAUAAUGGAUGAAGGUGCUAAUUACAAAACGUCAAUCAUCCUUAAUGGGCGAAAACAAAUUUGUCAUAGCCAUUUGGGCAGGCGUUUCCUCAGUUGGCUACCCAGAGCCUCGCGUUCGCGUUUUGACCAAUCACGAACGAGAAUAGACUUUGAAUAUAUAAUAACAAGGGUUAUCGAAUUUGUCCAAAUAUAUGGCUGGUUGAAUGGACCUGCCGAUAUGGCGAUGUUUUUACCGAACUGUGGUGGAUUUAGUAAUCAUUGCGUUCGUAAGUCUCCAGUCCAAGAGAUGAAUUUCAUAAUAGAUUAAGCAUUUCUAAUCUUGUACCACGUGUACUGUACCGGAGCAAAAUCUGCUGAUUUCUUGUUAAGUCGAUGUACAUGUUUUUUUUUCUUCAGGCGAGGGAAGCCUUUGUUUCUGUGUCAAGAUCGCUAUAAGAAACUUCAAGAGCAAUGGAUUUCUCAUAAUUUUGAUAGUAUUUGUAAAACAUGGGUACUACAUCAUAAUAAUUUGUAAAUAAUCAUGUUAUACCUAAUAUUGUACAAAUUUCAUAAAUAUUUGUGUAUAGACAGUUCACGAAUUUGCAUGUAUUUAUAUUUAUAAAAGAUUAAUUUUGCGUGAAAGUUUAUAUAUUAAAAGUGAAGAAAAUGCG
Molecule: non-coding RNA, 1388 nt
Organism: Paramuricea clavata
Lineage: Eukaryota; Metazoa; Cnidaria; Anthozoa; Malacalcyonacea; Plexauridae
Source: the annotation of a GenBank genome assembly